RNAcentral lists this unclassified non-coding RNA (304 nucleotides) under plant metagenome. RNAcentral describes it as "partial contains 5.8S ribosomal RNA, internal transcribed spacer 2, and large subunit ribosomal RNA". The stretch from base 1 to 104 matches the Rfam family "5.8S ribosomal RNA", at positions 50 to 154 of the family's 154-position model. The record is from RNAcentral.
GAAAUGCGAUAAGUAGUGUGAAUUGCAGAAUUCAGUGAAUCAUCGAAUCUUUGAACGCACAUUGCGCCCUUUGGUAUUCCUUGGGCAUGCCUGUUCGAGCGUCAUCUAAACCUUCAAGCCCUGCUUGGUGUUGGGUGCCUGUCCCGCCUCCGCGCGCGGACUCACCUCAAAUCCAUUGGCGGCCCCCGCGUCGGCCACGAGCGCAGCAGAAACGCGAACUCGUGAGCCCGUCCGGGCGGCUCCCAGAAGCUACACCCACCCAGUUUGACCUCGGAUCAGGUAGGGAUACCCGCUGAACUUAAGC